UAGGGAAUCUUCCACAAUGGACGAAAGUCUGAUGGAGCAACGCCGCGUGAGUGAAGAAGGUUUUCGGAUCGUAAAACUCUGUUGGUAGAGAAGAACGUUGGUGAGAGUGGAAAGCUCAUCAAGUGACGGUAACUACCCAGAAAGGGACGGCUAACUACGUGCCAG
RNAcentral lists this ribosomal RNA (165 nucleotides) under uncultured bacterium. RNAcentral's name for it is "partial 16S ribosomal RNA". It matches the Rfam family "Bacterial small subunit ribosomal RNA", at positions 355 to 511 of the family's 1533-position model. The record is from RNAcentral.